This 282-nucleotide unclassified non-coding RNA is filed under the name plant metagenome. RNAcentral describes it as "partial contains small subunit ribosomal RNA, internal transcribed spacer 1, and 5.8S ribosomal RNA". The record is from RNAcentral.
UUUCCGUAGGUGAACCUGCGGAAGGAUCAUUGUCGAAACCUGCCCAGCAGAACGACCCGCGAACUUGUAUAAACAACCGGGGGCGGGGGGCGUUCUCGCCCCGUGCCCCCGAACGGCGGGGAGACACUCGUGCCGUCUUGCGGAACAACGAACCCCGGCGCGGUCUGCGCCAAGGAACUUCAACUAAAGAGUGCCUCCGGUCGCCUCGGAAACGGCGUGCGUGCCGGGGGCGAAUCUUGUGCAAAACCAUAACGACUCUCGGCAACGGAUAUCUCGGCUCUC